RNAcentral lists this ribosomal RNA (446 nucleotides) under uncultured bacterium. RNAcentral's name for it is "partial 16S ribosomal RNA". It matches the Rfam family "Bacterial small subunit ribosomal RNA", at positions 338 to 795 of the family's 1533-position model. The record is from RNAcentral.
CCUACGGGAGGCAGCAGUCGAGAAUCAUUCACAAUGGGGGAAACCCUGAUGGGGCGACGCCGCGUGGGGGAAUGAAGGUCUGCGGAUUGUAAACCCCUGUCAUGUGGGAGCAAAUUAAAAAGAUAGUACCACAAGAGGAAGAGACGGCUAACUCUGUGCCAGCAGCCGCGGUAAUACAGAGGUCUCAAGCGUUGUUCGGAAUCACUGGGCGUAAAGCGUGCGUAGGCUGUUUCGUAAGUCGUGUGUGAAAGGCGCGGGCUCAACCCGCGGACGGCACAUGAUACUGCGAGACUAGAGUAAUGGAGGGGGAACCGGAAUUCUCGGUGUAGCAGUGAAAUGCGUAGAUAUCGAGAGGAACACUCGUGGCGAAGGCGGGUUCCUGGACAUUAACUGACGCUGAGGCACGAAGGCCAGGGGAGCGAAAAGGAUUAGAUACCCCAGUAGUC